RNAcentral lists this ribosomal RNA (380 nucleotides) under uncultured bacterium. Its description in RNAcentral is "partial 16S ribosomal RNA". It matches the Rfam family "Bacterial small subunit ribosomal RNA", at positions 338 to 735 of the family's 1533-position model. The record is from RNAcentral.
CCUACGGGAGGCAGCAGUGGGGAAUAUUGCACAAUGGGGGAAACCCUGAUGCAGCGACGCCGCGUGAGUGAAGACGUAUUUCGGUAUGUAAAGCUCUAUCAGCAGGGAAGAAAAUGACGGUACCUGUUUAAGAAGCCCCGGCUAACUACGGGCCAGCAGCCGCGGUAAUACGUAGGGGGCAAGCGUUAUCCGGAUUUACUGGGUGUAAAGGGAGCGUAGACGGCAGCACAAGUCUGAAGUGAAAUGCCGGGGCUUAACCCCGGAACUGCCUUGGAUACUGUGCAGCUAGAGCGCAGUAGCGGUAGGUGGAAUGCAUGGUGUAGCGGUGAAAUGCGUAGAGAUCAGAAAGAACACCGAUGGCGAAGGCAGCUUACUAAGCU